Planococcus citri (citrus mealybug) is the source of this 1713-nucleotide long non-coding RNA. RefSeq lists it as uncharacterized. NCBI's taxonomy places the organism in Eukaryota, Metazoa, Arthropoda, Insecta, Hemiptera, Pseudococcidae. The transcript has 4 exons. The record is from RefSeq and is a predicted model, not a curated record.
GUAAAAAUGAAAUGCAGCUUAGGCCUGUAACACACUACUGCGAUGCAAUGCGAUGCGAUGCUUUCAAAAACGUAGCAUCGCAUCGCAUUUCAACAUAAGACAACACACUACAUAAUAUAUCUCCGUGGUGUGCAUGUUUUCAACGUUAUCAUGUACCCAUCACCAGAAUUAGAUUAACAAUUUUGAUCUUGUAAAUAACGUAGAAGAAUCAUAAAUUUGUGGUUUGUCACUAAAGAAUAAUAGUGAGAACUGUAUUUCCAUUGUAGGAAGUAAUUUGGAAGUCAAAUUUUGUGAUCUUGGCCAACUCACUUGCACUUCAAUCAUUCGUCUGUGUGCUUAAUAUUCUCAAGUGUUGCUAUUAUUUUUCAAUAAUACUUAUGUGAUGAAGAAAUCUUUUCAAAAAAGAAUAGAAAAUAAAUCACAAUAAUAAUUUUUUCGUUCAUGUACUGCUAAAAUUACAAGUGCAUCUCUCUUAUCAGAUUAUCACAAUUCGUGGAGGUAAAAUCAACCAAUCACAGGAAAGCAUCGCAUGCGACGUCUCAGACUUUUGUACAUCAACUACAAACCUUGCUACGCGUUGCAAGGAUUUAGCCUUCUGAAAAACGUCCCAUCGCAUCGCAUCUCAUAGUGUGUUGUCCGCCAUAUACUUCAAUGCAACUAACAUUGCGAUGGGACGUUUGAAAAUGUUGCAUCGCAUCGCAUCGCAGUAGUGUGUUACGGGCCUUAGUAUUCUCAGUGCAUCUGUAUCCUGAAAGAUAACUGAAACAUUUUAGGAAAAUAAUAAAAGUUGUGUGAUAAGUUAAGUAGAAAUUUUUUGAAUAUUUCAUAAAUUAGUAGGUAGGUAGGUAGGUAGGUACAUAUAUUACUUUAUUCACAAUGGCCAGCACCAGUGGUUCAAAUAUUCAUCUAAAGCUCUGGACGAAUGUGACGAUCCGGAACCUUCGAAAGGCGAAGAAGUAUUAAAGAUGUCCAUCGAUGAAAUGAUCAGUCGGAUUAGAUCACUCGAAGAAGAGGUGAAAAGUAUGAAAGGACUUGAAAAUGAGGUGAAGAGCAUGAAAGACGAAAUUAUGAGAAUAUCGCCCAAGAUGAUUCAAGCAAAUGAAAAAGUCAAAGAAAACACGGAGAAAAUUGACAAGACGUUACCGUAUUUGGUUUCUCAAGUAAUAGAAUUGUCACAUAUAUCAAAUAUCUAUCCUCGAAAUGCCGAAGAACAUGCAGCCCGUGCAGCUGUUUUAGAUUUAUACCCUCGAAGGAGAGGAGGAGGAAUAAUAAUAAAUGAUAUCCUGACAUUCCUGACGGAUGGACGUCGCGUAUUUGUUGAGUUUGUGAUCCCAGUGAUCAUUGCAAUCAGCUCUGUAGAAAUUUUGCAGAUAACGUAUUUUUAUUUAUUCGACAAAGCAAAAUUGGACACACAUGUAAUGUGGAUCUAUCGAAUUCUAGAUAAUAUUUUAUCUUCUGUCAAGAACUACUUAUUGUAUUUCAUUAAUGAUCCAAGUUCGGUGUUCAAUUAUUUGUACCUAGUUAUACCUAUUUUUUUAUUUAUUUUUAUUUUUUAUAUAAUACUACCAGAGUAAUAUUUUCAAUUUGAAUUAUAUUGUUUGGUUUGAAAAUAGUUGAAAUGUUUUUAGUUACAAAAAUGUGUUCAAAACUUAAUUCUUGAAAUAUGAAAUUAGUUUCAGUAUAAAAAUGUUCUAUUAAAAAUACUUACUCUUU